CUAAUUAGUGGCGCGCAUGAAUGAAGUAAUCACCUCUUUACUGUCUCUUACACAAUCUCAGUGAAAUUGGAAUACUUGUGAAAAUACAAGUUUUUAAUGAUUAGACAGAAAGACCCCAAGACCUUUACUAUUUUUUUCCAUUGACAUCUUUUGAUAGUUAAAUAGAUUAGGUGGUAGUUUUAAAAAACUAAAUAUGAAAGACCACUUUCUUAUUAAAAAACGUCUAACUUUUUUAAAAAAGAAAAAAGUGUAAAAUUGGUAGUUUAGCUGGGGCGGUUUCCUACUAAAAAAUAACGAAGGAGUACAUAAAAUAAACUCAUAUAAAUUUUUUUAUAAAAGAGCAUAAUAGUAUAUGUUUAUUUAACUGCAAGAAAAACAAUUUCAAACAGAAGUGUAAGCUGGUUAUAAUGAUCCGAUAAUUUUGAGUGGAAAAUUUAUCGCUUAACGAAUAAAAGGUACCUUGGGGAUAACAGCCUAAUUACUCUUUAAAGUUCAUAUUGAAAGAGUAGCUUGGGACCUCGAUGUCGGCUCAUCAUAACCUGACGCUGUAGUUGGUGUCAAGGGUGCGGUUGUUCGCCGCAAAAUAUGAUACGUGAGCUGGGUUCAGAACGCUGUGAAGCAGUUUGGUCCUUAUCUUUCAUUAACAAAUGAAAACUGAAAAAAGUAAAUCUUAGUACGAGAGGACCAGAAAAAAUAUACCUAUGGUGUAGCAAUUGUUUAAUUUGCAAAGUUGCAUAGCUAAGUAUACUAAACUAAGUGCUGAAAACAUAUAAGCAUAAAAUUUUUUUUAAGAAGUCCGGUUUUCAAGUUAAGAAUUGUAAUAGAUUAUUACAUAAAUAGAUAAACGUGUGUAAUUUUUGUAAAAAGUUUAGCCUCUUUAAACUAAAAUUU
This 891-nucleotide ribosomal RNA is filed under the name Chrysoreinhardia sp. CCMP2950. RNAcentral describes it as "partial Bacterial large subunit ribosomal RNA". It matches the Rfam family "Bacterial large subunit ribosomal RNA", at positions 1976 to 2909 of the family's 2925-position model. Lineage: Eukaryota; Pelagophyceae; Sarcinochrysidales; Chrysocystaceae. The record is from RNAcentral.